UACGGAAGGGGCAAGCGUUGUUCGGAUUCAUUGGGCGUAAAGGGUGCGUAGGUGGCGUGGUAAGUUCGGAUGUGAAUCCCGGGGCUCAACCCCGGAACUGCAUUCGAUACUGCCUUGCUAGAGUACUGGAGAGGAGAUUGGAAUUUACGGGUGUAGCAGUGAAAUGCGUAGAUAUCGUAAGGAAGACCAGUGGCGAAGGUCGGAUCGUCUGGACAGUUACUGACACUGAGGCACGAAGGCCAGGGGCAGCGAA
Molecule: ribosomal RNA, 253 nt
Filed under: uncultured bacterium
Lineage: Bacteria
Description: partial 16S ribosomal RNA
Rfam family: Bacterial small subunit ribosomal RNA
Source: RNAcentral